This 1440-nucleotide long non-coding RNA is filed under the name Parus major (Great Tit). Its description in RNAcentral is "lncRNA (ENSPMJG00000016721.1)". The record is from RNAcentral. Lineage: Eukaryota; Metazoa; Chordata; Aves; Passeriformes; Paridae.
AUGGAAAUAUCUCAGGUUCCUGAAGGAGGCUGUUGGCCCCUGUCGACACCAUACACCUUCAUAUUUUGUGGAGUGUUCCUGCACCAACAGCUUCUUACCAGCAAGUGUAAAAGGAGGGGAAAGGAGCUGGGUUGCUGUUGCUAUUCAACCAAGCAAGACCUUCUGUUUGGAGAACAAUCCAACAAGGAGAGACCAUGAGUGCAAGGCCAGAAGGAGCUUUUCUUAAUUUAAAGGGUUCAGAAAUGCUGGAAACUCACAGCCUUUCACUUCAGUGUUGCAGUAGCAGAGCUGACAGGUUUUAUGCAUCCUGGUGUACAAGCUGAGAAAUGUGACUUGUGAAGGUAGGGGGUGCUGGCAGCUGCUGGGGGUGCCUUGGUGUGUGUGCUUUGCCUGGUGAGGAAGGGACAGGUAAAGAUUUUGUGGUGUUUUAUCAAGAGACCUACCAGUGAAUUUGGUGUGAAAGCCAAAGCACUGCAUAACAGACAACUUUUCUUAGGAGCAAUAGUUUAUGGCCCAUCAUCUGAAACAAAGGUUUGUAUGUAAGUUCUUCAUAGUGUAGCAUUUCUUGGUUAAGCCAGAACAAGAAACGAUCAUGCUUUUUACCAGCUGGGGGGAAAAAACUCCAAAACUUCAGUAAAGUCACACAGCUCUCAAGAGAGGCAUUUCUGUACAGAAAACCAGCAGAUCUGUCCUAGAUUUAUGCCACAGGUAGUCAAAUGCCAGUCCUCAUUUAUUGCACUUAUUGAUUUAUGUGGUAUUUAUGUCUAAUCUGUGCUUGAUCUGUAACUUCACCUGUUUUUGUUAGUCCAGUGUUGUCCUUGCCAGUUCCCCAGCACUGAAGUGCUCUCCUUUCCUAGGAUUAGUGUGAAACUAACCUCUGCUUAGACUAGGGACUAAUUCACAGAAUUUAAAUUCACAAGAAUAGGUGCUAUUAAUUUUUGUGUACUGUGUAUUCUUCUAAUUCCUGAAUCUAUUUCUUACUGGAAAUUAUUUCUUUUUGUAGGUCAGUCUGUACAACUAUACCCACAGGGAUUAACAUACAUAGAAACCUAUAGCAGACUUCAGCUGCUGAUAUAUAUUAAAGCAGUCAUCAUCUCGAUGCAAUUAAAAAAAAGGUGCUGACAAGACCUAACUUACUUUACUGUUGUGUUUGUCUUCUAGUGUUUUCUAGUGUGAAUCAGUACAAAAAUCAAGUCCCUUCCCUGUUUUGCUGUAUCAGUCACUGGCAUUAUCAUAUUGAUGUACAAUGAAGCUGUAAACCAGGCUUGUCUAAUGAGAACAGUCAAAAAAGUAAGAUUAGCCUAUGCCACAGGAAGUUUAAUCACAUUUCUCAUCUUAUAUUCUCUGGGCUGAAUCUGAUCUCUAAGACCUUAAAAGGCAAUGUAAAAAAUGGCCACUAAAAAAAAAAGAAAAAAAUAAAACUUUCUGUAUGUUUGUGCA